This is an unclassified non-coding RNA of Leptinotarsa decemlineata (Colorado potato beetle), 548 nucleotides long. Lineage: Eukaryota; Metazoa; Arthropoda; Insecta; Coleoptera; Chrysomelidae. The record is from RefSeq and is a predicted model, not a curated record.
UUUUUAGCUCAUGGUGUGUUGGUGACAUUGAUGAGAAGUAUGUUUUUGUUUCAUUUUGUGAGGUUAAUUUGUUAAUUAUCAGUUUGAAAAUGAGUUAUAAGUUUAGGUUAGCCUAACAUAUUGAAGAUAAUUAAAGAACAUAUAUGUAUAUUAGUUUUAGUCCAGAAUGCCGGCAGAAAAUAUUCAGUAUUCAGAAAAAUAUUGCGAUGAACAUUAUGAGUAUCGUCAUGUUAUUUUGCCUCCAGAUUUGGCUAAACUGGUGCCCAGGCCUCAUUUAAUGACAGAGACAGAAUGGAGAAAUUUAGGAGUACAGCAGAGCCCGAACUGGGUCCAUUACAUGCUUCACACCCCUGAACCGCAUGUGCUUUUGUUCAGGAGACCUUUAAAUGGAACAAUUCAAUAGACUAGAAUAGAGACAUUAACAUAAUAAUGGUGAUACAUUUUGGUUUCUGGAACCAAGAAACCUGUGUAAUGUGACUGAACAAAAUUUGUUCAAAAUGUACAUAUGGAUAAGUUUAAUAAAGUAUAUGACAUUCCUUUUUCAGAAA